GUGAGGAAUAUUGCGCAAUGGAGGCAACUCUGACGCAGCCAUGCCGCGUGCAGGAAGAAGGCGCUACGCGUUGUAAACUGCUUUUAACCGGGAAGAAACCCCAGGACGUGUCCUGGGUUGACGGUACCGGAGGAAUAAGCACCGGCUAACUUCGUGCCAGCAGCCGCGGUAAUACGAAGGGUGCAAGCGUUAUCCGGAUUCAUUGGGUUUAAAGGGUGCGUAGGCGGAGCGUUAAGUCAGUGGUGAAAUCCUGCAGCUUAACUGUAGACUUGCCAUUGAUACUGGCGAUCUUGAGUGCGCUUGAAGUGGGCGGAAUGUGCCGUGUAGCGGUGAAAUGCUUAGAUAUGGCACAGAACACCAAUUGCGAAGGCAGCUCACUAAGGCGAUACUGACGCUGAGGCACGAAAGCGUGGGGAUCGAACAGGAUUAGAAACCCUAGUAGUCC
Molecule: ribosomal RNA, 445 nt
Filed under: uncultured bacterium
Lineage: Bacteria
Description: partial 16S ribosomal RNA
Rfam family: Bacterial small subunit ribosomal RNA
Source: RNAcentral